This 64-nucleotide transfer RNA is filed under the name Curculionoidea sp. 1 KM-2015. RNAcentral's name for it is "tRNA-Thr". It matches the Rfam family "tRNA". Rfam says of the family: Transfer RNA (tRNA) molecules are approximately 80 nucleotides in length. Their secondary structure includes four short double-helical elements and three loops (D, anti-codon, and T loops). Further hydrogen bonds mediate the characteristic L-shaped molecular structure. tRNAs have two regions of fundamental functional importance: the anti-codon, which is responsible for specific mRNA codon recognition, and the 3' end, to which the tRNAs corresponding amino acid is attached (by aminoacyl-tRNA synthetases). tRNAs cope with the degeneracy of the genetic code in two manners: having more than one tRNA (with a specific anti-codon) for a particular amino acid; and 'wobble' base-pairing, i.e. permitting non-standard base-pairing at the 3rd anti-codon position. RNAcentral also lists the same sequence under 1 other name. Lineage: Eukaryota; Metazoa; Arthropoda; Insecta; Coleoptera. The record is from RNAcentral.
GUUUUUAUAAUUUAAAUAAAAUAUUGGUCUUGUAAACCAAAAAAAAGAAUUUUCUUUAAAAACA